CAAAUUCAGUUGGCCUAUAUUUUUCAUGGCCACCCUAUUGUUGGGCUCAACAAUCUAGGUGACUGGGUGGUACAUCUGCCCAUGGUUAUUCAGAUACCCCAAAGUAAAUUGAGGGAGGACAGGCAAUUUCUGUUAAUAGAAGGGCAAAAGUAGACUUGAUUUGGUCUUCAGUAUAGACACAAACUGUGCAAGCAGAGCCUUACAAUCCUUCUGAUCUUCUUCGCAGUCUUAAGGAAGAGGUGUCAGAACAGUUACUAGAAGUAUAACUGGAAUAUAGUGUCCAAGUGUUCAUGGCAACUCUAGCUUUUAGUCCUCAAUAUUGGCUCUUCGUUGUGAAGCAGGCUUCAUCAAAUGUUGCAUUGUUCACCCAUUAAUGAGAAUGUGGGCUGGGAAUAGGCCAACUUGAGAUAGGACAGU
This is a non-coding RNA of Myotis davidii, 417 nucleotides long. NCBI's taxonomy places the organism in Eukaryota, Metazoa, Chordata, Mammalia, Chiroptera, Vespertilionidae. The record is from Rfam.